AUGGAACUGUGGGUGCGCAAUGUCUAUCAGAAAGUGAAGUUCAAGAAUACGAUACAUUCAGUCUUGGGCAUGGUCGGGAGUACUAUAUAUGUCUUUAAGAAGGACAAGGCCCUCGAAGAUGGCAGAUUUGUGGAAAUUUUUGUGCGCUAUCUGAUAGCAGCGGUACUCAUUGUUGUUCAAAUCCUGCUGUUGGUAGUGAAAAAUUUGUUCCCUACAUGUGGGGACGAUGACCUGCAAGCGUUUAUCAGUUACAUGAGAGAGACAAGGGUCGGGUAUGAGAAGGACCAAUGUUUUGCGAGAGGAAAAAAUUCCAUUACUCGUGCUGUUGAGUUGAUUGAGUCAGCCUCACCUGAUGAAUCCCUUCAUGGAGUACAGCUCUUGUAUGCCACGAUCUCCUUGGGGGAGACUAAACUGAAAGAAGAAAGAAAAAAGAGAAAGACGGAAUUGUAUUCCAAACUAUUGAAGGAGAUUAUGGGGCAAUAUAGAUUGAUGAAAGUGUUAGUCGUGUUCCCACCCUCUUCAGCUAUACUUCAAAAACUGAUGCAGAUUCUUAAUCCUCGAGAAGCACAUGAUGCAGAAAUGAGAAACCAGGCUGCCAGGAUAUUAGCAUAUCUUGCACUUGAUACUCAAUUGGAGCAAUUCCCACAAGGUAUAAACCACAUAUCAUCCUUGAUCUGCACUUUUGAUGAAUACAUGCUGGUUGAGCCAUAUCACAAUGAUGAGGAUCUGAUUUGGGUGGACUACAGCAAGUUAGUGCUGCGAGGCUUAUGUAUCUUGUAUAAGCUUGCAUCAGACAAAAAAAACUGCGCAAUAAUAAUUGCGACCGAAGGUCUACUCACAAAGAUCAUGUCACCUCUGACUUGUGAUUUAAUCCAUGAAUUGAGUGGUGGUGCAUGGUCUGAGAGCUUAGUACAUGCAUCACUGAAGAUAGAAAAGCGCCCCACGGUCAGGACAUCUUGCAACAUGACGCUGUUAAAGAUCAUUGGAGCUGCCAAAAGUGAGGACUGGUCCAUCAGUAAAUUGGCACGCGAGGCAUUGGCCAAGUCACAUCUCGAAAGAGAAAGUGAUAUUGAUGUUGUUCAUAGCCUCAUUGAGAUCCUUGGAAAUGCUGAGAACAAGUACAGAGCAAGAGCAGCUAUUAUCCUAGUGGAUAUGAACUUUGAUCACACUGUUCAGGAAGCCAUGACCUCUGCAAUGCUAAUGGUCCUAGAAAAAGAAGGUGAUGACAUAGAAAAGCAAGGGAAGCAAUGUGGUGGUGCACAAAUGUCUUGUGGCGCUCAUCGAGAUUCCAAAGGGAAUGAAGGUGAUCUCGAUGUGGAGGGUGAUGAGGUCGAAAAUGAGGAGGAGGAGGAAGUCAUUGCACCUGCAUUGUCAUUUUGUGUGAAGGUAUGGGAAACUUUCAAAGAUCAAGACUGGCCCUGCAAAUUUGAAGGACUUCCAAAGAAGAUGCAGGAGAUGGUAAAGAAAAAUGAAGUUCCUAACACUCAUUCCUUGACUGUGGCAAAGCUAAUCUGUAGGAUGGUUAUAUUAAUGAUGGAGCACAAGUGCAGCUACCUAAAAGAAGAGGUGGAUGAGUUGAUCGACACACUGCCGAUUGCUUCUGAAGGAAUGGCUAAUCUGGAUAUGUCCAUGGUCUUUGGCCGCAACCACUCUGGCACUAGUCUGGUUUCACUGGUGAAAGAUGCUAAGGCAUGCGUAGAAAAGAAAUCUGAAUCAGAGUUCGUGGAAUCAUCUACGUCUAAUACUCGCCAGAGUGGCUAA
This 1761-nucleotide ribosomal RNA is filed under the name Triticum aestivum (bread wheat). Its description in RNAcentral is "partial small subunit ribosomal RNA". Lineage: Eukaryota; Viridiplantae; Streptophyta; Magnoliopsida; Poales; Poaceae. The record is from RNAcentral.